AGAGUUUGAUCAUGGCUCAGAUUGAACGCUGGCGGCAGGCCUAACACAUGCAAGCUCGAGCGCCGUAGCGAUACGGAGCGGCAGACGGGAGAGUAACACGUGGGAACGUCCCCUUCAGUUCGGAACAACCCAGGGAAACUUGGGCUAAUACCGAAUACGUCCGUAAGGAGAAAGAUUUAUCGCUGAAGGAUCGGCCCGCG
RNAcentral lists this ribosomal RNA (200 nucleotides) under uncultured bacterium. RNAcentral's name for it is "partial 16S ribosomal RNA". It matches the Rfam family "Bacterial small subunit ribosomal RNA", at positions 8 to 235 of the family's 1533-position model. The record is from RNAcentral.